AAAAUAAUUAAUUUUUGAGUUCAAAUUUGUUUUGAAAAUCAAGAAUUUGCUUGAAUAAAAAAUUUUAAAAAUCGAUGUGAGUAAAAGAGUUGGCAAGACUUGACCAGGGAGAUGAGUGGGAGAAAGGUCGUGCAGCUGGUGAUACGAGUGCGGCUGCACCCAAACUAACCGUAUGCCGGGGAGAAUACAGAGACAAGAGACAAGAUAUGACGAGAGAGAAAAAAAUAUAAAAAUAUAUAAUAUUUGUUUGAAUAAACAAGUAGCAAUAAUCAAUUAAUUCGGAACAAGUUUUAAUCAGUGAUUAAUUAUAAUUGAUAUGAUGGCAAUGAUGAGUGUAAAUCCCCAGGAGAAUUCGGAAGUCCUUGGUUAGAUACUUGAGACGAUCAAUAUUCUGAAGAUUUACUUGAUAAACAUGACGCCGAUGAUAGCGUGUCGUUAUCAGAUGAGUUAAAGUCAAUGACGUAUAUGAUGGCAAUUGGUUGACACCUGCGGGUCUUCCGCGACAAAAAAACAUUCAUUUCUGGCAUACUAAUAUAUAUUUAUAUAUGUGCAACAUAAUAUCCGUAUACAGCUAUUUAAUUUUACAAUCAUGCAGACAGGGUACCUUGAACCAUCAGGUUUUACUUCAAUGUGAUUAUAUUGCCCUGAGAUUCCAGUCGGCGGAAUGAAAUGCGCCUCGAGCUAAAAUGUUUACAGACUCAACAAUGAUAUACAUAUAUAUAUUUAUAUACAUAUAUAUAUAUGUUGUGUAUUUAAGUGUAUAUGUACGUAAACGAGCCGUCAAUACAAAGUUACCAGCUGGUAACGGAACAAACAAGUAGAGGUGAGAAAAGAGACAAGAGAAGAAGCUGAAGAGAAACUGUAGUCGAUUGAAUUUGUCGUAGUCGUUGUCAUCGUCGUCGUCGUCGUUGUCGGCUUAUAGAUAUAGAUAUAUAUUUAUAAUAUACGACUUGACGAUGAGUAGAGUGCGAGUAUUCCUCGCGACCUACUCCAAGAGAAAUUUACCGACAAGAUGAGAAGAUGAGACUUAACUUUUGACACUCUUAUCGAAAUACCGAAGCAUUGAAUAGUAAUAAUAAAGAUAGUAGACAUAAUAACGACACAGCAAGAGAAAGAGAUGAAGAAUGAGGACGAUGAACUUAACUGCCGUGGAAUGCAUCGUCAUUGACCCUGACCUUAGAAAAUAUUUCUUAUUAUUUUAUUAACGUAAAUAAAAUUAUUAUUUACAAUAUAUAUAUACAUAUAUACAUAU
Long non-coding RNA from Microplitis demolitor, 1252 nucleotides. RefSeq lists it as uncharacterized. NCBI's taxonomy places the organism in Eukaryota, Metazoa, Arthropoda, Insecta, Hymenoptera, Braconidae. The transcript is spliced from 3 exons. The record is from RefSeq and is a predicted model, not a curated record.